Danio rerio (zebrafish) is the source of this 62-nucleotide non-coding RNA. The record is from Rfam. NCBI's taxonomy places the organism in Eukaryota, Metazoa, Chordata, Actinopteri, Cypriniformes, Danionidae.
CGUAGUGUAGUGGUUAUCACGUUCGCCUCACACACGAAAGGUCCCCAGUUCGAAACUGGGCG